Oryza rufipogon (brownbeard rice) is the source of this 174-nucleotide microRNA precursor. It matches the Rfam family "MIR812 microRNA precursor family". Lineage: Eukaryota; Viridiplantae; Streptophyta; Magnoliopsida; Poales; Poaceae. The record is from Rfam.
UUUAAAUACAUUCAUCAGUUUCCGUGUCUGACUUUGAUCGUCCGUCAUUUUUUUAUGAUUAGUAUUUUUUUCUUUUUAGAUGAUAAAACUUUAUGUGUGAUUUAUGUUUUUAUUUUUUUUUCAAAUAAGACGAAUGAUUAAGGUUGGAUAUGGAAACUCAUGACUACACUUAAA